This 163-nucleotide ribosomal RNA is filed under the name uncultured bacterium. Its description in RNAcentral is "partial 16S ribosomal RNA". It matches the Rfam family "Bacterial small subunit ribosomal RNA", at positions 355 to 509 of the family's 1533-position model. The record is from RNAcentral.
UAGGGAAUCUUCCACAAUGGAACGAAAGUCUGAUGGAGCAACGCCGCGUGAGUGAAGAAGGGUUUCGGCUCGUAAAGCUCUGUUGGUAGUGAAGAAAGAUAGAGGUAGUAACUGGCCUUUAUUUGACGGUAAUUACUUAGAAAGUCACGGCUAACUACGUGCC